GGGCCGGUAGUUCAACCUGGUAGAAUGCCUGCCUCGCACGCAGGAGGUCGGGGGUUCAAAUCCCCCCCGGUCCA
RNAcentral lists this transfer RNA (74 nucleotides) under Nitrososphaerota archaeon. RNAcentral's name for it is "Thaumarchaeota archaeon tRNA-Ala". It matches the Rfam family "tRNA". From Rfam's summary of the family: Transfer RNA (tRNA) molecules are approximately 80 nucleotides in length. Their secondary structure includes four short double-helical elements and three loops (D, anti-codon, and T loops). The record is from RNAcentral. Lineage: Archaea; Thermoproteati; Nitrososphaerota.